AGACUGGGAUAACUUCGGGAAACCGGAGCUAAUACCGGAUAAUAUUUUGAACCGCAUGGUUCAAAAGUGAAAGACGGUCUUGCUGUCACUUAUAGAUGGAUCCGCGCUGCAUUAGCUAGUUGGUAAGGUAACGGCUUACCAAGGCAACGAUGCAUAGCCGACCUGAGAGGGUGAUCGGCCACACUGGAACUGAGACACGGUCCAGACUCCUACGGGAGGCAGCAGUAGGGAAUCUUCCGCAAUGGGCGAAAGCCUGACGGAGCAACGCCGCGUGAGUGAUGAAGGUCUUCGGAUCGUAAAACUCUGUUAUUAGGGAAGAACAUAUGUGUAAGUAACUGUGCACAUCUUGACGGUACCUAAUCAGAAAGCCACGGCUAACUACGUGCCAGCAGCCGCGGUAAUACGUAGGUGGCAAGCGUUAUCCGGAAUUAUUGGGCGUAAAGCGCGCGUAGGCGGUUUUUUAAGUCUGAUGUGAAAGCCCACGGCUCAACCGUGGAGGGUCAUUGGAAACUGGAAAACUUGAGUGCAGAAGAGGAAAGUGGAAUUCCAUGUGUAGCGGUGAAAUGCGCAGAGAUAUGGAGGAACACCAGUGGCGAAGGCGACUUUCUGGUCUGUAACUGACGCUGAUGUGCGAAAGCGUGGGGAUCAAACAGGAUUAGAUACCCUGGUAGUCCACGCCGUAAACGAUGAGUGCUAAGUGUUAGGGGGUUUCCGCCCCUUAGUGCUGCAGCUAACGCAUUAAGCACUCCGCCUGGGGAGUACGACCGCAAGGUUGAAACUCAAAGGAAUUGACGGGGACCCGCACAAGCGGUGGAGCAUGUGGUUUAAUUCGAAGCAACGCGAAGAACCUUACCAAAUCUUGACAUCCUUUGACAACUCUAGAGAUAGAGCCUUCCCCUUCGGGGGACAAAGUGACAGGUGGUGCAUGGUUGUCGUCAGCUCGUGUCGUGAGAUGUUGGGUUAAGUCCCGCAACGAGCGCAACCCUUAAGCUUAGUUGCCAUCAUUAAGUUGGGCACUCUAAGUUGACUGCCGGUGACAAACCGGAGGAAGGUGGGGAUGACGUCAAAUCAUCAUGCCCCUUAUGAUUUGGGCUACACACGUGCUACAAUGGACAAUACAAAGGGCAGCGAAACCGCGAGGUCAAGCAAAUCCCAUAAAGUUGUUCUCAGUUCGGAUUGUAGUCUGCAACUCGACUACAUGAAGCUGGAAUCGCUAGUAAUCGUAGAUCAGCAUGCUACGGUGAAUACGUUCCCGG
RNAcentral lists this ribosomal RNA (1256 nucleotides) under Staphylococcus aureus. Its description in RNAcentral is "bacterial SSU rRNA". It matches the Rfam family "Bacterial small subunit ribosomal RNA", at positions 135 to 1377 of the family's 1533-position model. The record is from RNAcentral. Lineage: Bacteria; Bacillati; Bacillota; Bacilli; Caryophanales; Staphylococcaceae.